RNAcentral lists this ribosomal RNA (468 nucleotides) under uncultured bacterium. RNAcentral describes it as "partial 16S ribosomal RNA". It matches the Rfam family "Bacterial small subunit ribosomal RNA", at positions 28 to 507 of the family's 1533-position model. The record is from RNAcentral.
GACGAACGCUGGCGGCGUGCUUAACACAUGCAAGUCGAACGGAAAGGCCCUGCUUUUGUUGUGUGCUCGAGUGGCUAACGUGUGAGUAACACGUGAGUAACCUGCCCUUGACUUUGGGAUAACUUCAGGAAACUGGGGCUAAUACCGGUUAUGAGCUCCUGCUGCAUGGUGGGGGUUGGAAAGUUUCGGCGGUUGGGGAUGGACUCGCGGCUUAUCAGCUUGUUGGUGGGGUAGUGGCUUACCAAGGCUUUGACGGGUAGCCGGCCGGAGAGGGUGACCGGCCACAUUGGGACUGAGAUACGGCCCAGACUCCUACGGGAGGCAGCAGUGGGGAAUAGUGCACAAUGGGCGGAAGCCUGAUGCAGCAACGCCGCGUGCGGGAUGACGGCCUUCGGGUUGUAAACCGCUUUCGCCUGUGACGAAGCGUGAGUGACGGUAAUGGGUAAAGAAGCACCGGCUAACUACGUG